CGCGUGAGGAACCUGGCUCAAAGAGGGGGACAACAGUUGGAAACGACUGCUAAUACCGCAUAAGCCCACGGGUCGGCAUCGACCUGAGGGAAAAGGAGCAAUCCGCUUUGAGAUGGCCUCGCGUCCGAUUAGCUAGUUGGUGAGGUAACGGCCCACCAAGGCGACGAUCGGUAGCCGGACUGAGAGGUUGAACGGCCACAUUGGGACUGAGACACGGCCCAGACUCCUACGGGAGGCAGCAGUGGGGAAUAUUGCACAAUGGGGGAAACCCUGAUGCAGCGACGCCGCGUGGAGGAAGAAGGUCUUCGGAUUGUAAACUCCUGUUGUUGAGGAAGAUAAUGACGGUACUCAACAAGGAAGUGACGGCUAACUACGUGCCAGCAGCCGCGGUAAAACGUAGGUCACAAGCGUUGUCCGGAAUUACUGGGUGUAAAGGGAGCGCAGGCGGGAAGACAAGUUGGAAGUGAAAUCUAUGGGCUUAACCCAUAAACUGCUUUCAAAACUGUUUUUCUUGAGUAGUG
This 521-nucleotide ribosomal RNA is filed under the name uncultured bacterium. Its description in RNAcentral is "bacterial SSU rRNA". It matches the Rfam family "Bacterial small subunit ribosomal RNA", at positions 114 to 651 of the family's 1533-position model. The record is from RNAcentral.